RNAcentral lists this ribosomal RNA (541 nucleotides) under Lentilactobacillus parabuchneri. RNAcentral's name for it is "bacterial SSU rRNA". It matches the Rfam family "Bacterial small subunit ribosomal RNA", at positions 1 to 499 of the family's 1533-position model. Lineage: Bacteria; Bacillati; Bacillota; Bacilli; Lactobacillales; Lactobacillaceae. The record is from RNAcentral.
UUUGGAAGAGUUUGAUCCUGGCUCAGGACGAACGCUGGCGGCGUGCCUAAUACAUGCAAGUCGAACGCGUCUUGGUUAUUGAUGUUAAGUGCUUGCAUUUAACUGAUUUAACAUUGAGACGAGUGGCGAACUGGUGAGUAACACGUGGGUAACCUGCCCUUGAAGUAGGGGAUAACACUUGGAAACAGGUGCUAAUACCGUAUAACAACCAAAACCACCUGGUUUUGGUUUAAAAGAUGGCUUCGGCUAUCACUUUAGGAUGGACCCGCGGCGUAUUAGCUUGUUGGUAAGGUAACGGCCUACCAAGGCAAUGAUACGUAGCCGACCUGAGAGGGUAAUCGGCCACAUUGGGACUGAGACACGGCCCAAACUCCUACGGGAGGCAGCAGUAGGGAAUCUUCCACAAUGGACGAAAGUCUGAUGGAGCAACGCCGCGUGAGUGAUGAAGGGUUUCGGCUCGUAAAACUCUGUUGUUGGAGAAGAACAGGUGUGAGAGUAACUGUUCACAUCUUGACGGUAUCCAACCAGAAAGCCACGGCUA